This 253-nucleotide ribosomal RNA is filed under the name uncultured bacterium. Its description in RNAcentral is "partial 16S ribosomal RNA". It matches the Rfam family "Bacterial small subunit ribosomal RNA", at positions 524 to 776 of the family's 1533-position model. The record is from RNAcentral.
UACGUAGGGGGCAAGCGUUAUCCGGAUUUAUUGGGCGUAAAGAGCUCGUAGGCGGCCGUUCGCGUCGGAUGUGAAAGCUCAGGGCUCAACUCUGAGACGCCAUUCGAUACGAGACGGCUAGAGGUAGGUAGGGGAAAGUGGAAUUCCUGGUGUAGCGGUGAAAUGCGCAGAUAUCAGGAGGAACACCGGUGGCGAAGGCGGCUUUCUGGGCCUUACCUGACGCUGAGACGCGAAAGCGUGGGGAGCAAACAGG